Molecule: long non-coding RNA, 440 nt
Organism: Olea europaea var. sylvestris
Lineage: Eukaryota; Viridiplantae; Streptophyta; Magnoliopsida; Lamiales; Oleaceae
Exons: 2
Source: RefSeq, a predicted model, not a curated record
AUUUCAAUUUCUCCCAAAUCAAACACCGCACACUCCAUCUUCACCCAAAUUGAAACCCGCACCGACGAAAACCCUCUCCAUGCCUUACCAUCUUCGACCGCACAUCAGUCAAAGGUAACGCCGCCGAUACAGUGGCAAUUCUUUCGAAGAUUGUCCCGCCUCAUAGUUCACCAUCUCUGUCCAAGGCAAAAGGGAGCACGGAAAGGAAUGCUAAAGGGAAGGAGUCGGCCUAAUUAGUACAUAUUAAUCGAAGGACUAGUUAUUACAUAAACUUUUGUAUAUGUGGUAUUAUUAUGUGCGAAUGUAUGUGAACUAUGGUUGUAAACAUAUGUGAAUCUAUAAUGUGUUGGAAGUUGCACUCUUGUUUGUAACGUCGAUUUUUACUUGUAAUGAACUGAUGGGUUUAUGUACCUUUUUCCAGUUGGAAGCUAAACUCCAAA